RNAcentral lists this long non-coding RNA (468 nucleotides) under Arabidopsis thaliana (thale cress). Its description in RNAcentral is "long non-coding RNA (ATHA_LNC000198)". The record is from RNAcentral. Lineage: Eukaryota; Viridiplantae; Streptophyta; Magnoliopsida; Brassicales; Brassicaceae.
CUGCUUUGGAGGCAUCUGGAUCCACCAACUAUGUGUUAGUCACAUCUCCCGCAGUAUGAGAUCCAUUUCCUAAUUAGUGGUUGCUUUCAUAUCCCUUAAUUUCUCUGCAGUUUUCUUGUUUGAUUUGAUCUUGUUUCUUCUCUUACCAAAAGGUGGGCAAGUUUCAGAGGAGCAGAACUGUAAAAGGAAAGAAACAAUCUCCUAGCUGCAAAGAGGUAAACGACUCUAAAUUCUUUUGCAUCUCUUAGAACAAAAGAACAGAAAUAAGAUCAAAGAGCUAAGUGAAAAAAACUCCUUAGGGUGAUGCAAUAAAGGAAGGCCAAGUUAUUGGAUACUUACAUCAGUUGGGAACAGAACUUCCAGUGACGGUAAUAUCUUAACUAAUAUAUCCAUCUCUUCUUUGAAACUAUCUAAUCAGACUCAUCGAUCUUGCUAUUUGUCGAGCAGUCAGAUGUAGCUGGAGAAGUC